AACGAACGCUGGCGGCAGGCCUAACACAUGCAAGUCGAACGCCGUAGCAAUACGGAGUGGCAGACGGGUGAGUAACACGUGGGAACGUACCCUUCGGUUCGGGAUAACUCAGGGAAACUUGAGCUAAUACCGGAUACGUCCGAGAGGAGAAAGAUUUAUUGCCGAGGGAUCGGCCCGCGUCUGAUUAGCUUGUUGGUGAGGUAACGGCUCACCAAGGCGACGAUCAGUAGCUGGUCGAGAGGACGACCAGUCACACUGGAACUGAGACACGGUCCAGACACCUACGGGUGGCAGCAGUCGAGAAUUUUGACAAUGGGGAACCCGUNAUCGAGCGACGCCGCGUGGAGGAUGAAGGUCUUCGGGUUGUAAACUCCUGUC
This 378-nucleotide ribosomal RNA is filed under the name uncultured bacterium. Its description in RNAcentral is "bacterial SSU rRNA". It matches the Rfam family "Bacterial small subunit ribosomal RNA", at positions 29 to 437 of the family's 1533-position model. The record is from RNAcentral.